This 71-nucleotide transfer RNA is filed under the name Culex quinquefasciatus (southern house mosquito). RNAcentral describes it as "tRNA-Glu". Lineage: Eukaryota; Metazoa; Arthropoda; Insecta; Diptera; Culicidae. The record is from RNAcentral.
GAAUUGUUGAUGUAGGGGUAAGCGUGGUUGCCUCUCACCCAGUCGGCCUCGGUUCGAUCCCAGACAGUCCC